AGUGAACGCUGGCGGUAGGCCUAACACAUGCAAGUCGAACGGCAGCACAGUAAGAGCUUGCUCUUACGGGUGGCGAGUGGCGGACGGGUGAGGAAUAAAUCGGAAUCUACUUUUUCGUGGGGGAUAACGUAGGGAAACUUACGCUAAUACCGCAUACGACCUACGGGUGAAAGCAGGGGAUCUUCGGACCUUGCGCGAUUGAAUGAGCCGAUGUCGGAUUAGCUAGUUGGCGGGGUAAAGGCCCACCAAGGCGACGAUCCGUAGCUGGUCUGAGAGGAUGAUCAGCCACACUGGAACUGAGACACGGUCCAGACUCCUACGGGAGGCAGCAGCGGGGAAUAUUGGACAAUGGGCGCAAGCCUGAUCCAGCCAUACCGCGUGGGUGAAGAAGGCCUUCGGGUUGUAAAGCCCUUUUGUUGGGAAAGAAAAGCAGCAGGUUAAUACCCCGCUGUUCUGACGGUACCCAAAGAAUAAGCACCGGCUAACUUCGUG
Molecule: ribosomal RNA, 492 nt
Filed under: uncultured bacterium
Lineage: Bacteria
Description: partial 16S ribosomal RNA
Rfam family: Bacterial small subunit ribosomal RNA
Source: RNAcentral